UUACAUCUUUUCAUAUUUUUCCUCAAUUUAGGAUUUUUAAAUUCCUAGUUUUCUAUCAUUCAUGUUUCUUUGUUUGUUUUGUGCUUACUUUAAAGUUUAGAAUAUAAUUUCUUAAACAUUCAAGAAGCUCAAAAUUUUAGUCUGAUCUCUUUGUUGGUUUCUAGACUUUUGAUAAAUUAUUUAAUUAUGUAUCUAGCUUAGUUCAAAUGAUUGUAGAUGAAGGAUGAUUUCAAGAAGUGACACAAAUUUUACUGUGAGCAGCUUUUUCACAGGCCACAGAGGAGGUUCAUUGAGCUGGAGGCUCUGGAGAAAAUCAUACAGGAAAGAAUAUGUUUGUUAUUUGCUUUGGACAUCUAAAUUAAAGCAAUAUAGUUGUACUAAAGAUACUGAAUUAGACAUACUUUGAACAUCUCACAUGUUUACUCAGAUUGAGAAUUGAUAGUGAAAAUGAAAUUAGUAAACCUUGUCCCCAACCUGAUUUAUUCAUAUUAGAGCAUUCAUUCAAGUCUUGUGUGCUAUAUUUUGAUUCUUUCUUCCAUAUUCAAUAACCUCUCUGAUUUGAACUUGGUUAUUGUGAAAAAGGGUGACAAUAAUUUAUGAGCCAUUUCUCCAUUGAUACUUGCUUUUCUAAAUUCACCUAAAAUGUGAGGCAAUCAGGAUUGUACAAGACUGCUAUCACCUUGCAAUUGGAAUGUUUAUUCAAAAGAUUUUUUGUCAAGUAUGUUUUUUGGAUUAAGUGUGCUAACCAUAAGAACAUCUUCAUUUGAGCUUUGGCACUAUCUAAUAUGUCCUAGUAGUACAUGGUGUUGUGCACAUUGGAAGAGAUUCCCUUUUGACAUCUUCUAGUCUUUGACUCUUUGCAGUGCAGCUUCAACACCAUGCUCGGCAUCGCCUUUCGACAUUUCAGUUGAUCUUUGUACAUGUAAUUGAAUCACUGGUUUUUGUUCCUUGUCCGAAUGCCAAUUUCAAUGAAGUUCUUUCCUUGCUUCUUUUUGUUGUAUUUUCUGGUCUUUCACAUAUAUUUCUUCUCUUAUUCAUAUGGUAAUGUUUGUAAUGUUUUAUUUUUCUCAGUGCAAUUUAAUUAAAUAUUAUCUGGAAAUAUUUUUUUUAAAAAGUUCCAGGUUUUUUAUAUUUGGCUCUAUCUACUAUAGCAGCUUUUAUGCAACAUCUUAUCUUGUACUUUUAGAAUCGUUUUGAGGUAAGAAAUGAUAAAAGUUGAAAAGAGCUACAAUUUGAAAA
Long non-coding RNA from Arachis stenosperma, 1239 nucleotides. RefSeq lists it as uncharacterized. The record is from RefSeq and is a predicted model, not a curated record. NCBI's taxonomy places the organism in Eukaryota, Viridiplantae, Streptophyta, Magnoliopsida, Fabales, Fabaceae. The transcript is spliced from 2 exons.